GAACACAGCGCAAGCAGGGACCUCUGGACUUCAGAGUGCCAGGAGCUGUUUCUGAAAGAGCAACUAUUAAGCUGAGACCCAUAGGAGGAAAAGAAACCAGCCAGGCCACAAGCAAGGGAAGCCCAUACCAGAUACAAGAACCAGCAUGAAGUCAUGGGCCUGGAUGUUUAUAGCAGCUUUAUUCACAAUUGCCAACCCUUGGACGCAACCAAGACGUCUUCAGUAGAUGAAUGGAUAAACACACUGUGCUACAUCCAGACUGUGGAAUAUAUUCAGUGCUAAGAUGAAAGGAGCUACGGAGCCAUGGAGACCUGGUGGGCCCUUAAGUGCAUAUUCCUGAGCCAAUCUGAAAAGGCUGAAUGCCGUGUUAUUCCAACCCUAUGACACUCCAGCAGAGCUAUGGAGAUGGUUAACAGUUAUAAGAAUACGGAUGCAAUGGCUGGAACUCCAGAAGACAUAACAGACUCUGAGUUGACCCUGAGGAUGGAGGUCACAUGGUAAAGCUAGCAAA
This is a long non-coding RNA of Tupaia belangeri chinensis (Chinese tree shrew), 511 nucleotides long. RefSeq lists it as uncharacterized. The transcript is spliced from 3 exons. The record is from RefSeq and is a predicted model, not a curated record. NCBI's taxonomy places the organism in Eukaryota, Metazoa, Chordata, Mammalia, Scandentia, Tupaiidae.